This 534-nucleotide ribosomal RNA is filed under the name Vibrio sp. JPW-9-11-11. RNAcentral's name for it is "partial 23S ribosomal RNA". It matches the Rfam family "Bacterial large subunit ribosomal RNA", at positions 2417 to 2925 of the family's 2925-position model. Lineage: Bacteria; Pseudomonadati; Pseudomonadota; Gammaproteobacteria; Vibrionales; Vibrionaceae. The record is from RNAcentral.
GAUCCGGUGGUUCUGUAUGGAAGGGCCAUCGCUCAACGGAUAAAAGGUACUCCGGGGAUAACAGGCUGAUACCGCCCAAGAGUUCAUAUCGACGGCGGUGUUUGGCACCUCGAUGUCGGCUCAUCACAUCCUGGGGCUGAAGUCGGUCCCAAGGGUAUGGCUGUUCGCCAUUUAAAGUGGUACGCGAGCUGGGUUUAGAACGUCGUGAGACAGUUCGGUCCCUAUCUGCCGUGGGCGUUGGAAGAUUGAAGGGGGCUGCUCCUAGUACGAGAGGACCGGAGUGGACGAACCUCUGGUGUUCGGGUUGUGUCGCCAGACGCAUUGCCCGGUAGCUAAGUUCGGAAUCGAUAAGCGCUGAAAGCAUCUAAGCGCGAAGCGAGCCCUGAGAUGAGUCUUCCCUGACUCCUUGAGAGUCCUAAAGGGUUGUUCGAGACUAGAACGUUGAUAGGCAGGGUGUGUAAGCGUUGUGAGGCGUUGAGCUAACCUGUACUAAUUGCCCGUGAGGCUUAACCAUACAACACCCAAAGGGUUUUG